AAUAAUAUGGCUGAGAUAGGGUGGCUUCAGAAUCAUCAUCUCUUUCAUUUUCUCUUUGAAUAAUAUGGAUUAAAAAAAAAAAACAAAUUUUCAAAAAAAUCGAUCAUGGAUUAAAAAAAAAAAAUCACAAAUUUUCAAAAAAUUCUAUCAUGGAUUACAAAAAAAAAAUUCGAUCAUGGAUUAAAAAAAAAAAUCACAAAUUUUCAAAAAAUUCU
RNAcentral lists this long non-coding RNA (215 nucleotides) under Amborella trichopoda. RNAcentral's name for it is "long non-coding RNA (ATRI_LNC004513)". Lineage: Eukaryota; Viridiplantae; Streptophyta; Magnoliopsida; Amborellales; Amborellaceae. The record is from RNAcentral.